ACCUUUUGUAUAAUGGGUCAGCGACUUAUAUUCUGUAGCAAGGUUAACCGAAUAGGGGAGCCGAAGGGAAACCGAGUCUUAACUGGGCGUUAAGUUGCAGGGUAUAGACCCGAAACCCGGUGAUCUAGCCAUGGGCAGGUUGAAGGUUGGGUAACACUAACUGGAGGACCGAACCGACUAAUGUUGAAAAAUUAGCGGAUGACUUGUGGCUGGGGGUGAAAGGCCAAUCAAACCGGGAGAUAGCUGGUUCUCCCCGAAAGCUAUUUAGGUAGCGCCUCGUGAAUUCAUCUCCGGGGGUAGAGCACUGUUUCGGCAAGGGGGUCAUCCCGACUUACCAACCCGAUGCAAACUGCGAAUACCGGAGAAUGUUAUCACGGGAGACACACGGCGGGUGCUAACGUCCGUCGUGAAGAGGGAAACAACCCAGACCGCCAGCUAAGGUCCCAAAGUCAUGGUUAAGUGGGAAACGAUGUGGGAAGGCCCAGACAGCCAGGAUGUUGGCUUAGAAGCAGCCAUCAUUUAAAGAAAGCGUAAUAGCUCACUGGUCGAGUCGGCCUGCGCGGAAGAUGUAACGGGGCUAAACCAUGCACCGAAGCUGCGGCAGCGACACUAUGUGUUGUUGGGUAGGGGAGC
Molecule: ribosomal RNA, 633 nt
Filed under: Escherichia coli
Lineage: Bacteria; Pseudomonadati; Pseudomonadota; Gammaproteobacteria; Enterobacterales; Enterobacteriaceae
Description: partial 23S ribosomal RNA
Rfam family: Bacterial large subunit ribosomal RNA
Source: RNAcentral